GAAAUGCGAUAAGUAAUGUGAAUUGCAGAAUUCAGUGAAUCAUCGAGUUUUUGAACGCACCUUGCGCUCCUUGGUACUCUGAGGAGCAUGCCUGUUUGAGUGUCAUUAAAUUAUCAAAAUUGUCACGAUAGUGGUGAUUUUGGAUUAUGGGAGUUGCAGGACCGUUGUUAGAGGGUCAAGCUCUCCUGAAAUGGAUUAGUAGAGCAAAAUGGAACUCUGUUGGUGUGAUAAGGAAAUUGAUCGUCAGAAAGAGUAACCAAAAGGCUUUGCUAUGUUGUUAUGAAAUGAUUUUGAAAAUUGACCUCAAAUCAGGUAGGAUUACCCGCUGAACUUAA
RNAcentral lists this ribosomal RNA (335 nucleotides) under Amanita pseudoporphyria. Its description in RNAcentral is "eukaryotic LSU rRNA". The stretch from base 1 to 105 matches the Rfam family "5.8S ribosomal RNA", at positions 50 to 154 of the family's 154-position model. The record is from RNAcentral. Lineage: Eukaryota; Fungi; Basidiomycota; Agaricomycetes; Agaricales; Amanitaceae.